CUAGUAGGAGUUGUGGACGAGGGGUGGCAACAAAAGACCCACCACUAAACCAGCGGCAGGUUGACUUUGAUCUGGAGACUGAAAGUCUCUCUGGUAAGUCAUGAGCCGGUCGAUUACAUUUGUUAAUAACAAGGUUGCAGAGCCGACCGUGGCUUUUGUGAACAGGGCCGAUGAGAGGAAGGAACGGAUCAAUUCGGCUGGAGUCAUCGCUUUACUGACGAUCUGUUUUAUCUCAGUGUUCAUAGCCACCGGCUUUUUGCUCUCUCUUAACUUUUCGGAACCUCUAUCGACUACUGUUGAAAAUGUGAUGCCCUUACAUAAUCCACAAAAGUUUCCGAAACUUUCUAUUUAUGACUUAAAAUCGGAGGUUUUUGUGGAAACUAGCGAGGAUAAUACAGGAAAAGAAAAAGGACCAACCGAACUGAGACAGGAGUUUCCAUCCGACAAAGCUGUUGAGGUCACUACUUUUGUUCCAGCGUUAUCGAAGGCAGAUUUUCAUCGACGUAAUGUAGUGAGAAUAACUUUCCCUGCCUAUAAACCCCGUAAGGACGACACUAAAAUGUUCGACACGACUGUCCGAAUUGCACGAAAGAAACUUCUCCCUGUAGGUCGUCGUGAAUGAUCUUAGUUGAAGAAAGUAGUUCAAAUAAGUGUCUCUUGUUAUUUACAUAACUUCAUAAGUAUAUUGUACACACUACUGUGUUGACACGUUUUGUAAUGUUAUUGAAGGGAGGGAAUAAAGUUGUUAAAGAUC
Long non-coding RNA from Macrobrachium nipponense, 754 nucleotides. RefSeq lists it as uncharacterized. NCBI's taxonomy places the organism in Eukaryota, Metazoa, Arthropoda, Malacostraca, Decapoda, Palaemonidae. The record is from RefSeq and is a predicted model, not a curated record. The transcript has 3 exons.